CAGAAGCACAGCGCGCAAUUACCCAAUCUAGACAGUAGGAGGUGGUGAAGAGAAUUACUAAAUGGUGGUCUAACAGAUCACUCGCUUGGAAUGAACGUAACUUAAGAAAUUCGAUGAGAAACAACUGGAGGGCAAGUCCUGGUGCCAGCAGCCGCGGUAAUUCCAGCUCCAGUAGUUUGCUUUAAAGUUGUUGCGUUUAAAACGCUCGUAGUUGGAUCACGCAGCGGUGGUGAGUAAUCUUUUGCGACGGGAUGGUGAAUGAGCCCGUUUUGCGACGGCCAUGAAUCAAACUAAGCAAAAGGUAAAAAUGCUGAUCAUCGCUAGUUGCACGUGAGAUAGAUUGUUGGCCUUUGAUGUGCCGAUAUUCUGGUCUUGCGGAGUGUGCCUUGAAUAAAACAGAGUGCUUAAAGCAGGUCGUUGCCUGAAUGUUAUAGCAUGGAACGAACAAUCGUGUUUAUGUGUACGCCUACUGAUGGUAGCGAGCCUUUGGUUUGUUGUUAUUGGAGACGUGCACGGCACCCACCAAAAUAUGGCUGUUGGUUCCAUAUACGGUGAUGAUUAACAGGAGCGGUUGGGGGCAUCGGUAUUUGGCCGCGAGAGGUGAAAUUCUUAGACCGGCCAAGGACUAACAAAUGCAAAGGCACUUGUCUAGACCGUUUCCAUUAAUCAAGAACGAAAGUGGGAGGUUCGAAGACGAUCAGAUACCGUCCUAGUUCCCACCGUAAACUAUGCCGACCUGGGAUCAGUUUAGAGAUGUUACAAGCUUUGGAUUGGUCCCCCUGGGAAACCUGAAGUUUUUCGGUUACGGGGAAAGUAUGGUCGCAAGGCUGAAACUUAAAGGAAUUGACGGAAGGGCACCACCAGGGGUGGAGCCUGCGGCUUAAUUUGACUCAACACGGGGAAACUUACCUGGUCCGGACAUCGAUAGGAUUAACAGAUCAAUAGCUCUUUU
This 952-nucleotide ribosomal RNA is filed under the name Thelohanellus sp. AKPGB.4. RNAcentral describes it as "SSU rRNA". It matches the Rfam family "Eukaryotic small subunit ribosomal RNA", at positions 423 to 1261 of the family's 1831-position model. The record is from RNAcentral. Lineage: Eukaryota; Metazoa; Cnidaria; Myxozoa; Bivalvulida; Myxobolidae.